Molecule: long non-coding RNA, 2854 nt
Organism: Panicum virgatum (switchgrass)
Lineage: Eukaryota; Viridiplantae; Streptophyta; Magnoliopsida; Poales; Poaceae
Exons: 5
Source: RefSeq, a predicted model, not a curated record
AACUCCGGCGUCCCUGCCGACUUCCCACCGCCCCUCACCACCGCGGACCGUCGGCAUCCGCCGCCUCCUCCGCGGGCCGCGGCCCCCCAUCCUCCGCCGCGCUAUCGGGCCCCACCUCCUCCGUCGUGCCGCCCGCCCGCGAGCCGCGCGAGCCUCCCCUGAGCUGCGACCCCUUGGCAUCCGUCUCCUCACCGACGCGAGGCGCGCCCCCCCUCCUCCGCCGCGCCGACAGCAAGCUAACCCGACCCCGCAGGAACGAACCCUAGUUAGCCAUUCCCCUCUUCGGAGUCGGAGCUGCUGGAUCCCCACCCCACCCUCUCUCCGCCUCCCUCACUGGCGGAGCGUUCGCUCGCCCAGUGCUGUCUCUGUGGCCGCGCCCGCCGCCGCCUCCUCCUGAUUGCCCUGCCCUUGAUCUUUCGAUUGAGCUUAGUACCUGAUUGCACCGCAGUGGAUGGAUGCAGUCAGACAUUGUUGCUAGCUAUGUUACUUUUGCAGCUAGAUUGAGUGCUUCAGUGACACAUGACACACCGUCACGCUCCCCUCUUGCAGGAAUCAUCAGUACACACUGCCGGGCGGUGAGUCCAGCCUUCCAGACUUCAGGGAUUAAUCUCCGGUGCUUUCAAGUUCAUGACCAAGGGCGCAAAGAAAGGCAAGAAUGGGCCUUCAGACCAGCAGCCCGCAUACUGCCCAGUUGUUGACUCAGGUUUUUGCAUGCCAGUUUCCGCUUUUUCUAUGAUUGAAUACCAGUUGCAUGUAUCCACUGCAACUACUCAUCAAUACAAUGCUUGAGGUCAAUUAUCACAAAGAAGAGCUGCAGAUGCUGUCGAAAUCAAAUCAUGUUGCUAUUGUCUCCGUUGACAGUAGACCUGGCAUUUGGGACUUGUCUGGAGUGCAUGCUAUGCAAGGAUAGAAAGCGGUGCUGGGGCUCAUGGGGCAUUGGGGCUCAAGGUUAUCAUUCUUUCCAGCACUUGAUAUCCGGGUCAAGAAUGUAGCAGGGACCUACUCCUUAGAACAUAAAGGGGAAAGCGAUCUUUUCAGCCAGUUAUUUGCUCUCCUACAAUUGGACAAACGCCUCAGGCAACAUACGUCCAAGGAAGAAGAACAUGUUGCCCCUUUAAAUUUCAGUAUGGAUUUUGUUCUUGGGAUGACACCUUUUGUUUUUAUGCCUGCAUUUCUUCACAUACAUACUCCAGUAGAUAUAGCCAAAGUAUGAUUCUUGAUGCUUCUGUGCAUUGCUGAGAUUAUGAUGCUCUUGAUUGGCUACUCCUCAAUGUUCAUUGGCUACAGAUUUCUCUAAUUUGUAUUUUUUUGUCCACUAUUUCAGGUUUGAGUAUAUUUUACAAUCUAAUUGAUCAGUCCUUCAGGCUUCCAGGUUCAGAUGUGGCACCAUGACUACAAGCUGCUAAGAGCAACAACCGUGUGGAGCAUUGCAGGUUCUGUAAGUUGUGCUAAUAAAUGGGUUACCAACAUGCUGUGAUCAGCAUUGUGUUCAUCACCAAAGGAACGGCUCCAUCCCCCUGAGGUACGCGCAAAACUAAUUAAAUCCGAGUCAGUGAGUGUGAGUCAUCUACUUUGCCUAGUUUAGAAUUUUAGAUUUGUGAAUCAUCUACAUAUUGUUCUUGGCAAUAGAUUCAUCAGUCGAUGGCAAAAAUGACAGCUUGAUUGAUGUUGGUGAACAACAAUCAAGAUUUUUUAAUCGAUAUGAUGUAUGUUCUGACCAUAACUUGUAUCUCAUCUGUUGGGCAUUGCAAGCACAUGCUGAGAAUGCACCAAUCAUUUUAUUUUCCCUAAAAAGCUUUCUCUCCAAAUGACAGAGAUAGUCAGGAAUGGAUCACCCACCUAUUAUAUUUAUUUGAAGGUUCUAAAUCCGAUUACCAUUUGGUGUAUCCAACAUGCUAAAUGUACACGACAAGCUUAUGAUCGAGUUCAGGUAUAACAUGUACACUAACUUUUCUGCAUUCAUCUCUCCACUCUUUUCUAUUUGCAAUUUAUUCAGUUCAAGGUAUGUGUUCAUGAAAAUAGAAGAACUGGUGAAUAAUCACCAAUAGGGCUCUACUCGGUUCAGCUUUAGAAUGGGUUCUGCAUCAAGGGGGUGAUAUUGUUCCUGUACCAGGUGUGAUCUUAUAAUUCCAUUCUCCGAUCAUUGGCAGCUACACACAAUGCUCGCCCACAAAUGCAUUUUCAGAUACUUUUCUUAUAUACACUUUCAUAGAAGUGAAAUGCAUGAUACUUAUAAAUCAUUACUAAUCGAAGGGUACUAUGAUAUGGGAAGUAUUCUCAUUCAAUUGUAAUAUAAUGAGAGGGACAUAUCCAAUCCUCCUCCAACAUACCAGGAGUACUUUUGUUGGUUCCACAAAUAUGGAGAUUUAACAAGACGCACGGAAAGCGGCUAGCGGGCAGCGCUGGGGGUGGAGGAUGAGCAGCCAACAAGAUUAUAGUAAUAUGGCAAUAUUGCCUUUCAGUGUGCAGUCUGAUAAUUUUUUUCAUGUCCUUGAUAGUAUGAAUAUUAGUCUUGCUGAAAAAUUGGAAUUAGUGCUGUAAUCAUGCAGAAUUUGUUGUAGUUUCAGUAUGUGUGAAUUUGGAUCGGAGCUGUCAUGCAGUGACCGCCUCUUUAGCUUGCCUGCGAUCAAAUCUGUCAUUCAAAAUAUGCAUACUAGAUGCCCUGCAAUAUAAAAGUGUCAGUGAGUGUAAGUAUAAGACUGAUUUGCUGUUCCUUUUUCUUUUUUUUUCUUCUUUAAUUCAUCAUCAUAAACAUUUCAUUUGCGUUGAAAAUUUGAUGAUUGGUAUGACACUAUUAUGUAAAAUGUUGAUGUUUCUGAAUCUCUAUUUGAAAACAUCAAGUUGCUAAGAUGAA